Molecule: non-coding RNA, 47 nt
Organism: Taeniopygia guttata (zebra finch)
Lineage: Eukaryota; Metazoa; Chordata; Aves; Passeriformes; Estrildidae
Source: Rfam
CUACAGGCUUCUCUAGAAGCCAUCUCACAUCAUACACGCAUGUCUCG